This is a small nuclear RNA of Hevea brasiliensis (rubber tree), 197 nucleotides long. RefSeq annotates it as U2 spliceosomal RNA. The record is from RefSeq and is a predicted model, not a curated record. Lineage: Eukaryota; Viridiplantae; Streptophyta; Magnoliopsida; Malpighiales; Euphorbiaceae. The transcript has a single exon.
AUACCUUUCUCGGCCUUUUGGCUAAGAUCAAGUGUAGCAUCUGUUCUUAUCAGUUUAAUAUCUGAUACGUGAGCCAUCAGUCCGCAUGAUAUUAAAUUAAUUUUUCUUCGGGAAAGGGCCUAUUGCAGUAGCUUGCUACUGGGGCUCACAAGCGUCGCCCCUGCAUUGCACUAUUGCAAGGGCCUGGCGCAUCCCAU